UAGGGAAUAUUGCGCAAUGGGGGAAACCCUGACGCAGCGACGCCGCGUGAGUGAUGAAGGCCUUAGGGUCGUAAAGCUCUGUUGCACGGGAAGAAAAAAAUGACGGUACCGUGCGAGAAAGGAUCGGCUAACUUCGUGCCAGCAGCCGCGGUAAGACGAGGGAUCCUAGCGUUGUUCGGAAUCAUUGGGCGUAAAGCGUGUGCAGGCUGCUCUUCAAGUCAGUUGUGAAAGCCCCGGGCUCAACCCGGGAAGUGCUUCUGAUACUGUUGAGCUUGAGUACUGGAGAGGAUAGUAGAAUUCCAGGUGUAGUGGUGAAAUACGUAGAUAUCGGGAGGAAUACCGGUGGCGAAGGCGGCUAUCUGGCCAUGUACUGACGCUGAGACACGAAAGCGUGGGGAGCAAACAG
RNAcentral lists this ribosomal RNA (406 nucleotides) under uncultured bacterium. Its description in RNAcentral is "bacterial SSU rRNA". It matches the Rfam family "Bacterial small subunit ribosomal RNA", at positions 355 to 775 of the family's 1533-position model. The record is from RNAcentral.